Molecule: long non-coding RNA, 938 nt
Organism: Parus major (Great Tit)
Lineage: Eukaryota; Metazoa; Chordata; Aves; Passeriformes; Paridae
Exons: 2
Source: RefSeq, a predicted model, not a curated record
GUUGUAGUUGCUUGAACGCCUCCUUAACUUUCUGCAAGACCUAACAAAAAGGAGUGCGGUGCCAACUCAUUAGCCAAACAGCGUUUUAAAAGACGAUAAACAGUCACGUAGCAAAAAAGGAUUGGGGCUGAGAGUGAAAAGCAGUCACCUUUCCGUCGGAGAGCGGAUGCACAUCAGAAAUCAGGCGGGAGAGAAAUACCUAACAGAGCUGGGCAUAAUGUGAUUAUACCUAAGCCGUCGGUGGGUACACCGAGCCUGCUACGAUCAGCGCUCCCCUCGACUCCCGGCGGGGAGCCUUCCCCAGCCCGCAGCCCCCGACCCGCGUAAGGAAUGCGCCUCCCGCACCGCGCAGGCGGCCGUGGGGGCGGGCGGUACGAGCGGGGGAGAGACGGGACACGGACGUCUUUGCCGGGUGAAUUUGGAGGCGAGAAACCGGCGCAAUUCGGCGAGGGGCGGUGAGGCCGCUCGGCUGCAGCCGGUGGAGAGGCCGCGCCACGCUCCGCGCCCUGCGCAUCCCCGGGCAGCCGCCGGGAUCGGCGCUGCUCCCCAGGCUUGAUGUCCCCUCCUCUCAGCGCCCCGUCUGGAACAGGUCCUGGCCAGGAACAGGAAGAUGUCAGAGCGGGGAGUGACAAGCUACAAAACAGUCGUCAUCUAUUUUUUUUCUCUCACUCUGUUUCCUCCUAGUAUUAUGGUCAGCGCAAAUAAUCAUAGUCCUUUGAUUAUUUAUGCUUCUCCAGCCGUGGCAACAAAAACUGGCCAACCUCUGCCCUCGGCCUUUAUUCUCGGUUCCCAAGUUUUCCAGCUACUUGCAUUGUUUGUUUCCAAAAUACAAUGCAUACAGUGCUGAACUGCAACACUUGUCAGAAGAUUCGUCUGAAAGCACCAAGCACCACAGCCUGGGCAUUAGCCAACCCUGGAAAAAAAAAAAAAAAAAAAAA